This is a long non-coding RNA of Periophthalmus magnuspinnatus, 379 nucleotides long. RefSeq lists it as uncharacterized. The record is from RefSeq and is a predicted model, not a curated record. The transcript is spliced from 4 exons. Lineage: Eukaryota; Metazoa; Chordata; Actinopteri; Gobiiformes; Gobiidae.
UCUGCAGCUCUGGAACUACUACAGUUGUUGCUGGAGCGUUUCGACCCUGAGGACACAGUCUCGUCUCUGCUGUCGCUGCUGAACAGAGCUGAGGUUUUCUACUCUCAGGACUGGUGCCCCGUUCUCUCUGAGGCGGUGCGUUUACUGUCCGUACCCGCCCCGGUGCAGCCCACCGUACCCGCCCCAGGGCAGCCUGUUGCAGACUCAGACCGGUUGUUCUUCAAGCUCCUUCCCCUCACGGUGCCUUCAGGGGCUGCGGACUCGGUUCAGUUUAAACUGGCUCUGAGUCUGUCCCAGUGUGCAGUGAUCCAACAGCACCCACUCACGGCAGGAUGGAGAUCAGACCUGGAGGAGGCGCUGCGGUCCGGUCCAGACCAGG